UGGGGAAUUGUUCGCAAUGGGCGCAAGCCUGACGACGCAACGCCGCGUGGAGGAUGAAGAUCUUCGGGUCGUAAACUCCUUUCGAUCGAGACGAACGGCUUCCGGGUGAACAAUCCGGGAGAGUGACGGUACCGAGAGAAGAAGCCCCGGCUAACUCCGUGCCAGCAGCCGCGGUAAUACGGGGGGGGCAAGCGUUGUUCGGAAUUACUGGGCGUAAAGGGCUCGUAGGCGGCCAUCUAAGUCAGACGUGAAAUCCCUCGGCUUAACCGGGGAACUGCGUCUGAUACUGGAUGGCUUGAGUUUGGGAGAGGGAUGCGGAAUUCCAGGUGUAGCGGUGAAAUGCGUAGAUAUCUGGAGGAACACCGGUGGCGAAGGCGGCAUCCUGGACCAAUACUGACGCUGAGUGAGCGAAAGCCAGGGGAGCAAACGGG
Molecule: ribosomal RNA, 431 nt
Filed under: uncultured Acidobacteriota bacterium
Lineage: Bacteria; Pseudomonadati; Acidobacteriota
Description: bacterial SSU rRNA
Rfam family: Bacterial small subunit ribosomal RNA
Source: RNAcentral